AGAGAGAGACAUGCGCGCAUAUCAAUAAGCGGAGGAAAAGAAACUAACAAGGAUUCCCUUAGUAACGGCGAGUGAAGCGGGAAGAGCUCAAAUUUGAAAUCUUCAAGGUUUUACCUUGACGAAUUGUAGUUUAAAGAAGUGUUUUCUGCUGAAGUUUUGGUAAAAGUUCUUUGGAAUAGGACAUCAUAGAGGGUGAGAAUCCCGUAUUUGACCAUCAUUUUCAGCUUUGUGAUAGCACUUUCAAAGAGUCGGAUUGUUUGGGAAUGCAGUCCAAAAUGGGUGGUAAAUUUCAUCUAAAGCUAAAUAUUGGCGAGAGACCGAUAGCGAACAAGUACCGUGAGGGAAAGAUGAAAAGAACUUUGAAAAGAGAGUUAAACAGUACGUGAAAUUGUCAAAAGGGAAGCGUUUGACACCAGUGUUGUUUUCUCGAAAAUCAAUUAAAAAUGGCUCGAUUUUGUAUUGUUGAGACCUUAAAAGCUCACUGUACAUUUUUCGUGUCUUUUUUAAUGCACUUUUCGUUUAACAAGUCAACAUCAGUUUCUUUUGUUGUAAAAGGGUCAUUGGAAGGUGGCUUUCUUUUCGGAGAAAGUGUUUAUAGCCUUUGGCCUCUGCAAUCGGAGAGACUGAGGUCUGCAGCGUAGACUCUUCGGGGUUAGAUACAUUUGUGCUAAGUUAUAGCUUUUUAUAGACAACUUGUUGACUAUAAUUAGUCUUGUAGCUUACUCGCUUAUGCUAUUUUACCUACGCUUAGGAUGUUGAGUCGUAGAGCACGCAG
Molecule: ribosomal RNA, 775 nt
Filed under: uncultured Neocallimastigales
Lineage: Eukaryota; Fungi; Neocallimastigomycota; Neocallimastigomycetes; Neocallimastigales
Description: partial large subunit ribosomal RNA
Rfam family: Eukaryotic large subunit ribosomal RNA
Source: RNAcentral